GAUGAACGCUGGCGGCGUGCCUAAUACAUGCAAGUCGAGCGAACAGACGAGGAGCUUGCUCCUCUGACGUUAGCGGCGGACGGGUGAGUAACACGUGGAUAACCUACCUAUAAGACUGGGAUAACUUCGGGAAACCGGAGCUAAUACCGGAUAAUAUAUUGAACCGCAUGGUUCAAUAGUGAAAGACGGUUUUGCUGUCACUUAUAGAUGGAUCCGCGCCGCAUUAGCUAGUUGGUAAGGUAACGGCUUACCAAGGCAACGAUGCGUAGCCGACCUGAGAGGGUGAUCGGCCACACUGGAACUGAGACACGGUCCAGUCUCCUACGGGAGGCAGCAGUAGGGAAUCUUCCGCAAUGGGCGAAAGCCUGACGGGGCAACGCCGCGUGAAUGAUGAAGGUCUUCGGAUCGUAAAACUCUGUUAUUAGGGAAGAACAAAUGUGUAAGUAACUAUGCACGUCUUGACGGUACCUAAUCAGAAAGCCACGGCUAACUACGUG
This 497-nucleotide ribosomal RNA is filed under the name uncultured bacterium. RNAcentral describes it as "partial 16S ribosomal RNA". It matches the Rfam family "Bacterial small subunit ribosomal RNA", at positions 28 to 507 of the family's 1533-position model. The record is from RNAcentral.